Long non-coding RNA from Thalassophryne amazonica, 96 nucleotides. RefSeq lists it as uncharacterized. The transcript is spliced from 3 exons. Lineage: Eukaryota; Metazoa; Chordata; Actinopteri; Batrachoidiformes; Batrachoididae. The record is from RefSeq and is a predicted model, not a curated record.
AUGGAGGUCAGAUUGUAUUUUUGAGAGUGGUAUUUGCUCUUGAAUUCCAAAUUUACAUAAUUAUAUGUUUGAAUUUAGUUAGAUUUCUGCUGUUGG